Pseudopipra pipra is the source of this 953-nucleotide long non-coding RNA. RefSeq lists it as uncharacterized. The record is from RefSeq and is a predicted model, not a curated record. NCBI's taxonomy places the organism in Eukaryota, Metazoa, Chordata, Aves, Passeriformes, Pipridae. The transcript has 3 exons.
AUCUUGCUCCCACACGCCCUCCUUGCUCCUCAGGGUGCUGUGGGUUUGUCACCUGGGACUGGGAGCUGCCCAGGCCGUGGCACUGUGGCUUAGACCCUGCUGACACAGAGUUUGACCCUGCAGAGCUGCUGCGACCAUGUGGAGGACGAUCAUCUUCUCAAGUCGGACUGCACAGUCGGUGCUCGAGAUACUUGCCCUUGUCCUGGGAAGCUGGCCAGCCUGCAGCAUGUGCACCUUGGAUGGGGAUGAAACAGAUGUCUUUGCCCUGGCUCUGAGUUUCUGGAACUGGACUUUGCUCACUCCCACAUCGCCUCCAGGGCAGCUCUUCAUCCUCCCCCAGCACUGCAUCUCCCUGCCUCAGGCACUGGGCUGGAAACCUGGCUUAGGGGCAGGUUCAGGGGCACCAGGCCAGGUGCUCUUCCUGUGUCUCCCCUGGCCUCUCCCUCCCGCGCUCGGGCCUUGCCACAUGGAUGUCUCAGCACUGAGUGCUGUCUCCAGCUGUUUUACUUUUUUGCAGGCAAACGUGGCACUGUGGACGGCCCUCCAGCUGCCCUGGUGCCCACGUACAGUGAGGGAGUGUUUCCCCAGCCUCUUUGUGCAUCUGCUCUUCCAGGUGUUCUUCAACGCAGUGCAUAGGCUGGAGGAGGACGACGCCUUCUGGAGGGAAUGCCAGGACCAACACAGCCUUCCCACCAACGCCAACAGGUUUGCAGUGCUGACCAUCCAAGCCCUGCUGUGCCAUCUGCGGUGUGAGGGUGUGGUGAUGGCACUGGAACGCAAGUGUGGCUGGGACACGCUGCUCAACGCUGACACCCACCACUGCGCAGUGGGUCUGCUGGCCAGGGAGAUGGUCUGUAUCUGCACACCCUGGUUUUGCAGCACUGUGUGCUGCCUCCUGGAGCUGCUCAGUGAAGAGAUGUGUCCCUGGGAGCUCCCUACCAUGGCGUUCCCUG